This 254-nucleotide ribosomal RNA is filed under the name uncultured bacterium. RNAcentral's name for it is "partial 16S ribosomal RNA". It matches the Rfam family "Bacterial small subunit ribosomal RNA", at positions 524 to 776 of the family's 1533-position model. The record is from RNAcentral.
UACAGAGGGUGCGAGCGUUGUCCGGAAUCACUGGGCGUAAAGGGCGCGUAGGUGGUGGCUUAAGCGUGCGGUGAAAGCUCGGGGCUCAACCCCGAGUCGGCCGUGCGAACUGGGCUCACUGGAGCAUAGUAGAGGCAGGUGGAAUUCCGGGUGUAGCGGUGGAAUGCGUAGAGAUCCGGAAGAACACCGGUGGCGAAGGCGGCUCACUGGCCCGGUACUGACGCUGAGGUGCGAAAGCGUGGGGAGCAAACAGG